RNAcentral lists this long non-coding RNA (586 nucleotides) under Homo sapiens (human). RNAcentral describes it as "HSALNT0375816". Lineage: Eukaryota; Metazoa; Chordata; Mammalia; Primates; Hominidae. The record is from RNAcentral.
GCUUGUGGGCACCCAUGGAAUCUGCUGGGUGGGCACCUGCUUAGUGGCUCCAGAACUCCUGGGCAUUUGGGAGCCUGGGAUAGCCUGGAGUUGGGAGUGGCCUGGAGGAAGGGGCUUCAAUUUCCUGCUCUGAAAAAGGGAAGAACAGCAGACUUUGGUCUGUAAAUCUUUCUUCCAUAUGUAGUUGAAGGCGAGCAUACCUGUCUUAGGGACAGUGAAAUCCCAGAGGCUCCUGAUCAUUCCUCUCCUGACUUUGCUUUGUUUCAGAUUUUCUGUAAAUGCUGCCCACCCCCACUGCCUCUGCCUGAUGACGUCCUCUGGGUGCUUGUGUGAGAAUCAUGCAGUGACCACAUCAUCACCCACAGCUGAUGACUCAGAGUGGACCACCUAUUCAGCCCAGAGCAGGAACCCAAGCCUAUGAAGUGAAUUGUAGGAUGUGGUAUCAGCCAGUAGAGGUACUGGAGCACCAGAAACCUGAGUUCCCAGUGAUAGAACCGCCAAUGCCUCAUGGCCAUGCUGCUAAAUCCAUCAGGAUAGUUUCUUUAGCAGGCUGGAGUGCAUUGGUCCGAUCUUGGCUCACUGCAAC